This 555-nucleotide ribosomal RNA is filed under the name Microbispora sp. 303E06. RNAcentral's name for it is "bacterial SSU rRNA". It matches the Rfam family "Bacterial small subunit ribosomal RNA", at positions 93 to 663 of the family's 1533-position model. Lineage: Bacteria; Bacillati; Actinomycetota; Actinomycetes; Streptosporangiales; Streptosporangiaceae. The record is from RNAcentral.
GAGCGGCGAACGGGUGAGUAACACGUGAGUAACCUGCCCCUGACUCUGGGAUAAGCCUGGGAAACCGGGUCUAAUACCGGAUACGACCAUUUCUCGCAUGUGAUGGUGGUGGAAAGUUUUUUCGGUUGGGGAUGGGCUCGCGGCUCUAUCAGCUUGUUGGUGGGGUGAUGGCCUACCAAGGCGACGACGGGUAGCCGGUCUGAGAGGGCGACCGGCCACACUGGGACUGAGACACGGCCCAGACUCCUACGGGAGGCAGCAGUGGGGAAUAUUGCGCAAUGGGCGGAAGCCUGACGCAGCGACGCCGCGUGGGGGAUGACGGCCUUCGGGUUGUAAACCUCUUUCAGCAGGGACGAAGUUGACGUGUACCUGUAGAAGAAGCGCCGGCUAACUACGUGCCAGCAGCCGCGGUAAUACGUAGGGCGCGAGCGUUGUCCGGAAUUAUUGGGCGUAAAGAGCUCGUAGGUGGGCUUGUCGCGUCUGCCGUGAAAGCCCGUGGCUUANCUACGGGUCUGCGGUGNAUACGGGCAGUCUAUAGNCUGUUAGGGGCAAGCG